AAACUGAAGAGUUUGAUCAUGGCUCAGAUUGAACGCUGGCGGCAGGCCUAAUACAUGCAAGUCGAGCGGAAACGAUGGGAGCUUGCUCCCAGGCGUCGAGCGGCGGACGGGUGAGUAACGCGUAGGAAUCUGCCCAGUAGUGGGGGAUAGCCCGGGGAAACUCGGAUUAAUACCGCAUACGCCCUACGGGGGAAAGCAGGGGAUCUUCGGACCUUGCACUACUGGAUGAGCCUGCGUUGGAUUAGCUAGUUGGUGGGGUAAAGGCCUACCAAGGCGACGAUCCAUAGCUGGUCUGAGAGGACGAUCAGCCACACUGGAACUGAGACACGGUCCAGACU
Molecule: ribosomal RNA, 338 nt
Filed under: Gammaproteobacteria bacterium
Lineage: Bacteria; Pseudomonadati; Pseudomonadota; Gammaproteobacteria
Description: bacterial SSU rRNA
Rfam family: Bacterial small subunit ribosomal RNA
Source: RNAcentral